GUGGUCGCUUCGGCCACACGCGUACUAAAAUUAUAAUGAUGCAGAGACAGUUAGCACAGUCCCUGUGCAAGGAUGACAAGCAAAUCUGUGAAGCAUUCCACAUUUAA
Molecule: small nuclear RNA, 107 nt
Organism: Mesocricetus auratus (golden hamster)
Lineage: Eukaryota; Metazoa; Chordata; Mammalia; Rodentia; Cricetidae
Source: Ensembl